RNAcentral lists this small RNA (93 nucleotides) under Klebsiella pneumoniae. RNAcentral's name for it is "partial RtT sRNA". It matches the Rfam family "RtT RNA", at positions 1 to 90 of the family's 130-position model. From Rfam's summary of the family: This family represents a bacterial cis-regulatory element known as RtT RNA. The exact function of RtT is unknown although it is thought that it may be involved in changing the cellular response in relation to amino acid starvation. The record is from RNAcentral. Lineage: Bacteria; Pseudomonadati; Pseudomonadota; Gammaproteobacteria; Enterobacterales; Enterobacteriaceae. RNAcentral also lists the same sequence under 1 other name.
UGCAUCUGGGGCCUGCGAGGAUGAGAACCUCCGGGGGCAGGAGGUUCGACUCGAGCGAAGCGAGAGAACGUUGCGUCAGCAACGGCCCGCAGG